UACAGAGGUCUCAAGCGUUGUUCGGAUUCAUUGGGCGUAAAGGGUGCGUAGGCGGGUAAGUAAGUCCGUGGUGAAAUCUCUGAGCUUAACUCAGAAACUGCCGUGGAUACUAUUUGCCUUGAAUAUUGUGGAGGUGAGCGGAAUAUGUCAUGUAGCGGUGAAAUGCUUAGAUAUGACACAGAACACCGAUUGCGAAGGCAGCUCACAAAACUGUAACUGACGCUGAGGCACGAAAGCGUGGGUAUCAAACAGG
RNAcentral lists this ribosomal RNA (253 nucleotides) under uncultured bacterium. RNAcentral describes it as "partial 16S ribosomal RNA". It matches the Rfam family "Bacterial small subunit ribosomal RNA", at positions 524 to 776 of the family's 1533-position model. The record is from RNAcentral.